Molecule: ribosomal RNA, 253 nt
Filed under: uncultured bacterium
Lineage: Bacteria
Description: partial 16S ribosomal RNA
Rfam family: Bacterial small subunit ribosomal RNA
Source: RNAcentral
UACGGGGGGGGCAAGCGUUGUUCGGAAUUACUGGGCGUAAAGGGCUCGUAGGCGGCCAAUUAAGUCAGACGUGAAAUCCCUCGGCUUAACCGGGGAACUGCGUCUGAUACUGGAUGGCUUGAGUUUGGGAGAGGGAUGCGGAAUUCCAGGUGUAGCGGUGAAAUGCGUAGAUAUCUGGAGGAACACCGGUGGCGAAGGCGGCAUCCUGGACCAACACUGACGCUGAGGAGCGAAAGCCAGGGGAGCAAACGGG